GGUGAGUAGUCGGAGAGAGGGGGAAUAAACAUGGAGAUACCGUUCCACUCAGUCAAAAACUUCCCCCACAUGAGUAGGUCAGCUUUGGCGUGCUGGUCCAACGCAAUUGGGAAGGCGUCCGGUACCCCGUGAAGCAGACAAAGAAGCCUGGAUACAAAAGACCUUCCCUGCGGAAUGAUGCACAUCGUGAAAUUCAGGGAUCCCAAUAAGGACUGAAGUUCUUUCCUGGUGCAUACAUCAUUCCGCAGGAACAUGUCUAUCUCCCCACUCAAGCAAACCAGUUUGUCGGGGGGAAGGCUGGCGCAGAAAGUACCAGAGUCCAGCUCUAUCCCCAAGAAAGUAAGUUUAG
Non-coding RNA from Pelobates cultripes (western spadefoot toad), 349 nucleotides. The record is from the annotation of a GenBank genome assembly. NCBI's taxonomy places the organism in Eukaryota, Metazoa, Chordata, Amphibia, Anura, Pelobatidae.